RNAcentral lists this ribosomal RNA (423 nucleotides) under uncultured bacterium. Its description in RNAcentral is "bacterial SSU rRNA". It matches the Rfam family "Bacterial small subunit ribosomal RNA", at positions 355 to 775 of the family's 1533-position model. The record is from RNAcentral.
UAAGGAAUAUUGGUCAAUGGGCGCAAGCCUGAACCAGCCAUGCCGCGUGCAGGAAGACGGCCCUACGGGUUGUAAACUGCUUUUGUACCGGAAUAAACCUUGAUUCGUGAAUCAAGCUGAAUGUACGGUAAGAAUAAGGAUCGGCUAACUCCGUGCCAGCAGCCGCGGUAAUACGGAGGAUCCAAGCGUUAUCCGGAUUUAUUGGGUUUAAAGGGUGCGUAGGCGGUUCUUUAAGUCAGGGGUGAAAGACGGUAGCUUAACUAUCGCAGUGCCUUUGAUACUGAAGAACUUGAAUACACUUGAGGUAGGCGGAAUGUGACAAGUAGCGGUGAAAUGCAUAGAUAUGUCACAGAACACCAAUUGCGAAGGCAGCUUACUAAAGUGUCAUUGACGCUGAGGCACGAAAGCGUGGGGAUCAAACAG